GCAGUCGAGGGGUAGAGUUAGCUUGCUAACUUGAGACCGGCGCACGGGUGCGUAACGCGUAUGCAAUCUACCUUUCACAAAGGGAUAGCCCAGAGAAAUUUGGAUUAAUACCUUAUAGUAUAUAUGAAUGGCAUCAUUUAUAUAUUAAAGAUUUAUCGGUGAAAGAUGAGCAUGCGUCCCAUUAGCUAGUUGGUAAGGUAACGGCUUACCAAGGCAACGAUGGGUAGGGGUCCUGAGAGGGAGAUCCCCCACACUGGUACUGAGACACGGACCAGACUCCUACGGGAGGCAGCAGUGAGGAAUAUUGGACAAUGGGCGCAAGCCUGAUCCAGCCAUGCCGCGUGCAGGAUGACGGUCCUAUGGAUUGUAAACUGCUUUUAUACGAGAAGAAACCCUCCGACGUGUCGGAGCUUGACGGUAUCGUAAGAAUAAGGAUCGGCUAACUCCGUGCCAGCAGCCGCGGUAAUACGGAGGAUCCAAGCGUUAUCCGGAAUCAUUGGGUUUAAAGGGUCCGUAGGCGGUCAGGUAAGUCAGUGGUGAAAGCCCAUCGCUCAACGGUGGAACGGCCAUUGAUACUGUCUGACUUGAAUUAUUAGGAAGUAACUAGAAUAUGUAGUGUAGCGGUGAAAUGCUUAGAGAUUACAUGGAAUACCAAUUGCGAAGGCAGGUUACUACUAAUGGAUUGACGCUGAUGGACGAAAGCGUGGGU
Molecule: ribosomal RNA, 709 nt
Filed under: uncultured bacterium
Lineage: Bacteria
Description: bacterial SSU rRNA
Rfam family: Bacterial small subunit ribosomal RNA
Source: RNAcentral